UACAGAAGAGCCAAGCGUUGUCCGGAUUGACUGGGCGAAAGCGCACGCAGGGCGGACGCGCGCGUGGGGUGUGAAAUCUGGCCGCUUAACGGCCAGGCGCCAUCCCAUACGGCGGGUCUGGAGCCUUUGCAGAGGUCGGUGGAAUUGCCGGUGUAGUGGUGAAAUGCGUAGAGAUCGGCAGGAACACCCAGGGGAAACCAGCCGACUGGGCAAG
Molecule: ribosomal RNA, 214 nt
Filed under: uncultured bacterium
Lineage: Bacteria
Description: partial 16S ribosomal RNA
Rfam family: Bacterial small subunit ribosomal RNA
Source: RNAcentral